Molecule: long non-coding RNA, 576 nt
Organism: Mirounga angustirostris (Northern elephant seal)
Lineage: Eukaryota; Metazoa; Chordata; Mammalia; Carnivora; Phocidae
Exons: 3
Source: RefSeq, a predicted model, not a curated record
AAAGAGACUGCAGAGAGCAUCAUCACCCCGGUACCUAUGAAGUUACAGUGACAUGAUGACCAUCAGCGAGGAAGUGGGCUCUCACCAGACAUGGAAUCUGCGGAUAUCAUAGUCUUGGAGUUCCAGCCUGCAGAAUGCUGUUUGUCAUAGCAAAGUUUGGAAGCCAAUGAAAGUUCCAUCAAAGAAUGAGCUGGUUAAGUGACGGCACACUAACAGAAUCAAAUGCUAUGAUGCAGCCAUGAAAAAGAACGGAACGAUUUCCAAGAGAUGCCACAAGAAGGAAAAACAAAACAAAACAAAACCUGGUGCAAACACCAAGUGGAAUAUUCUCUGUUAUAUGUACCCAGGUGCUUGUACAUGCAGAGAAUAUCUCUAGAAGGGCAACCAAGAAAUUCUAAUACUGGUGCCUCCAAGGCAAGGGAACUCAGUGGCUCAGGACCAAGAAAAGAAGAAAAAACAAAAGGCCAGAGGCCCUGUUAUGUCUGUUAUGGGUUGAAUUGUGUCUCUCAGAAAAAUACACUGAAGUCCUAAGCCUCAGUACCUGUGAAUGUGACUUUCUCUGGAAAUAGGGUCUUU